GGCCUUGACAUACUAAGAACUUUCCAGAGAUGGAUUGGUGCCUUCGGGAACUUAGAUACAGGUGCUGCAUGGCUGUCGUCAGCUCGUGUCGUGAGAUGUUGGGUUAAGUCCGCAACGAGCGCAACCUUUCCUUAUUUGCCAGCGGGUAAUGCCGGGAACUUUAAGGAUACUGCCAGUGACAAACUGGAGGAAGGCGGGGACGACGUCAAGUCAUCAUGGCCCUUACGGCCAGGGCUACACACGUGCUACAAUGGUCGGUACAAAGGGUUGCUACCUCGCGAGAGGAUGCUAAUCUCAAAAAGCCGAUCGUAGUCCGGAUCGCAGUCUGCAACUCGACUGCGUGAAGUCGGAAUCGCUAGUAAUCGCGGAUCAGAAUGCCGCGGUGAAUACGUUCCCGGGCCUUGUACACACCGCCCGUCACACCAUGGGAGUUUGUUGCACCAGAAGUAGGUAGUCUAACCGCAAGGAGGACGCUUACCACGGUGUGGCCGAUGACUGGGGUGAAGUCGUAACAAGGUAGGCGUAGAUGA
RNAcentral lists this ribosomal RNA (530 nucleotides) under uncultured bacterium. RNAcentral's name for it is "bacterial SSU rRNA". It matches the Rfam family "Bacterial small subunit ribosomal RNA", at positions 977 to 1509 of the family's 1533-position model. The record is from RNAcentral.